RNAcentral lists this transfer RNA (61 nucleotides) under Conderis sp. UPOL A00607. RNAcentral's name for it is "tRNA-Gln". Lineage: Eukaryota; Metazoa; Arthropoda; Insecta; Coleoptera; Lycidae. The record is from RNAcentral.
UUACAAAAUAUAAUUUUAUUUUUACAGUGAAAAUGUAAGGUUUUUUUUAAACUAUGAAAAU